This 5089-nucleotide long non-coding RNA is filed under the name Homo sapiens (human). RNAcentral's name for it is "non-protein coding lnc-NR4A2-7:1". Lineage: Eukaryota; Metazoa; Chordata; Mammalia; Primates; Hominidae. The record is from RNAcentral.
AAUUUGAUUGCACUGUGGUCUGACAGACUGUUUGUUAUGAUUUUAGUUCUUUUGUAUUUGCGAAGGAGUGUUUUACUUCCACUUAUGUGGUCAAUUUUAAAGUGCCAUGUGGCACCGAGAAGAAUGUAUAUUCUGUUGUUUUGGGGUGGAGAGUUCUGUAGAUAUCUAUUAGGUCCACUUGUUCCAGAGCUGAGUUCAAGUCCUAAAUAUCCUUGUUAAUUUUCAGUCUCAUUGAUCUGUCUAAUAUUGACAGUGGGGUGUUAAAGUCUCCCACUAUUAUUGUGUGGGAGUCUAAGUCUCAUUUACAUUUGAGGUUAUUUAUGUUUGAAUUAAAUCCUGUCAUCAUGACGCUAGCUGGUUAUUUUGCACAGUAGUUGAUGCUGUUUCUUCAUAGUGUCAUUGGUCUUUAUAUUUUUGAGUGUUUUGCAGUGUCUGGUACCAGUUUUUCAUUUUCAUAUUUAGUGCUUUCUUCAGGAGCUCUUGCAAGGCAGGCAUGGUGGUGACGAAUUUCCUCAGCAUUUUCUUGUCUGUAAAGGAUUUUAUUUCUCCUUUGCUUAUGAAGCUUAGUUUGGCUGGAUAUGAAAUUCUAGGUUGAAAAUUCUUUUCUUUAAGAAUGUUGAAUAUUGGCCCCCACACUCUUCUGGCUUUAGUGUUUCUGCUGAGAGAUCUGCUGUUAGUCUGAUGAGCUUCCCUUUGUAGGUGACUCACCUUUCUCUCUGGCUGCACUUAACAUUUUUUCCUUUAUUUUGACCUUGGUGAAUAUGAUGAUGUGUCUUGGGUUGAUCUUCUUGUGGAGGAUCUUAGUGGUGUUCUCUGUAUUUCCUGAAUUUGAAUAUUGGGCUGUCUUGCUAGGUUGGGGAAGUUCUUCUGGUUAAUAUUCUGAAGUGUGUUUUCGAACUUGGUUCCAUUCUCCCUGUCUCUUUCAGGUACUCCAAUCAGUUGUAGGUGCAGUCUUUUUUACAUAGUCCCAUAUUUAUCGGAGGUUUUCUUCAUUCCUUUUCAUUCUGUUUUCUCUAAUCUUCUCUGCCUGCCUUAUGUCAGCAGGAUAGUCUUCCAUCUCCAAUAUUCUUUCUUCUGCUUGAUCAAUUUGACUAUUGACAAUUGUGUAUGCUUCAUGAUGUUCUUGUGCUGUGUUUUUCAGCUCCAUCAGAUCAUUUAUGUUCCUCUCUAAAGUGGUUAUUCUAGUUCACAGCUCCUCUAAACUUUAACAAGGUUCUUAGCUUCUUUGCAUUGGUUUAGAACAUGCUCCUUUACCUCAGUGACCUUUGUUAUUACCCACCUUCUGAAGUCUACUUCCAUCAAUUUGUCCAUCUCAUCCUCUGUCCUGUUCUGCACCCUUGCUAGAGAAGUGUUGCUAUCAUUUGGAGGAGAAGAAGCACUCUGGUCUUUUGGGUCUUUGCAUUGUUUUCAUUGAUUCUUUCUCAUCUUUGUGAGUUUGUCUAAUUUCAAUCUUUGAGGCUGCUGACCCUUAAAUGAGGUUUUUGUGGGGACUUUUUUUGUUGAUACUGUUGCUGCCUUCUGUUUAUUUGUUUUUCUUUCAAUAGUCAGGUCUCUCUUCCGUAUGGCUAUUGUGGUUUGCUGGGGGCUCACCUAAAACCCUAUUCAUACGGUUCCCUCCUGUGUCUGGAGAUACCAUCCGAGGAGGCUGGAGAAGAGCAAAGACGGGUGCCUGCUCCUUCCUCUGGGAUCUCUGACCUUGAGGGGCACCGACCUGAUGCCAGUAGGGACACUCCUGUAUAGGAUGUCUGACAACCCCUGUUGGUGAGUCUUACCAAGUUGGCGAGGGCACAGAAAGCAGGACCCAUUUAAUGAAGCACUUUGGCUGUCUCUUGGUGUAGGGGGUGCGCAGUGCUGAGGGAAAACCCACUUGUUUUGGAUGCCUGGAUUCUUCAGAGCUAGCAGAGGAAAGACUAAGUCUGCUGGUCUGUGGAGACUACAGCCACCCCUCCCCGUAGAGGCUCAGGCCCAGGGAGGUCAGAGUUCUGUCCUUGAGCCCCUGGCUGGAGUUGGAAAUCCUGCAGAGAGGCCCUGCAGCCACAAUGUUGGCUGCUGCCCUUCUCCAAGGAGCUCAAAUGGCUUAGACAUCACAACCAGAGCAGUGGUGAUGGCUGCCCCUCCCCCGGGGCACCCAGCUGGCUUAGGCUGAUUCUAGUUGAGUGAGAAUCUGUGUGGCUUCAUGGUAGGGACCCAAGGCCCUGGUGGCACGGGCUCAUGAGUGGGAUCUUCCGAUCCAUUGGUUGCACCGUUCUGUGGAAAAAGCAGUUUCCCGGGCUGGGUAGCACACACACUCACCACCUCCCUUGGCUGGGGGUGGGAGCUCCCCUGCCCCCGCGUGGCUUUCAGGUGGGCUGCCGCACCACUCUGCUCUUCCUUCCUCUCCGUGGGUUAUGCCAGCUGCCUAGUCAGUCCUAAUAUCAGAACCUGUAUAUCUUGGUUGCCAGUGCAGGAUUCACAUACUGCUUUGGAUUUUUUCCAUGGGAGUCCCCGAUCACUGCUGCUUUUAGUCAGCUAUCUUGGCUCUGCUUCCCUUUCUUGAUUUUACCAUUAAUGGGAACCUAGGUUGAUUCUACGUCUUUGCAAUUGUGAAUAAUGCCACCACAAUGAACAUUUGAUUGUAUGUGUCUUUUGGUAGAAUGAUUUAUUUUCUUUUGGGUAUUUACCCAGUAAUGGGAUUGCUGGGUCGAACAGUAGUUCUGUUUUAAUUUCUUUGAGAAACCACCAAACUGCUUUCCACAGUGGCUGAACUCAUUUACAUUCCCAACAACAAUGCAUAAGCAUUCCCUUUUUUCCUCAGCCUUGCCAGCAUCUGUUGUUUUUUGCCUUUUAUAAUAGCCAUUCUGACUGGUGUGAGAUGUUAUCUCAUUGUGGUUUUGAUGUGCACUUUGAUGAUUAAUGAUGUUGAGCUUAUUUCACAUGUUUGUCAGCCAUUUGCGUGUCUUCUUUUGAGAAGUGUCUGUUCAUGUCUUUUGCCCUUUCUUUAAUGGGAUUAUUGGUUUUUUUCCUUAUUGAAUUGAACUUCCUUAUAGAAUCUGGAUGUUAGACCUUUGUUGGAUGUGUAGUUUGUGAAUAUUUUCUCCCGUUCUGUAGGUUGUCUGUUUAUUCUGUUGAUAGUUUUUUUUACUGUGCAAAAGCUCCAUAAUGUAAUAGGUCCCACUUGUUAACUUUUGCUUUUGUUGCUAUUGUUUCCGAGGACUUAGUCAUAAUUCCUUUCACAGGCUAAAGUCCAGAAUGAUGUUCCUUAGAGUUUCUUCUAGGAUUUUUAUAGUUUGAGGUCUUACAUUUAAAUAUUUAAUGCACCUUGAGUUAAUUUUUAUAGAAGGUGAUAGGUAGGGGUUUAGUUUCAUUCUUGUGCAUAUGAAUAGCCAGCUGUUCAAGCACCAUUUUUAAAAAUGUUUAUUUUAAGUAUCUGUGCAGGUUUAUUAUAUAAACUUGUGUCAAGGGAGUUAGUUGUAUGGAUUGUUUGGUCUAGGUAUUAAACCUAGUACUCUUUAGUUAUUUUUCCUGAUCCUCUUCCUCAUUCCACCCUCCACCCUCACGUAACCCUCAGUAUCUGUUGUUUCCCUCUAUGUGUUCAUGUGUUCUCAUCAUUUAGCUCCUACUUAUAAGUAAGAACAUGCAGUAUUUCAUUUUCUGUUCCUGCAUUAGUUUACUAAAGAUAAUGGCCUCCAGCUCCAUCCAUGUUCCUGCAAAGGAUAUGAUCUUGUUCUUUUUCAUGGCUGCACAGUAUUCCAUGGUGUAUGUGUACCACAUUUUCUUUAUCCAGUCUACCAUAGUUGGGCAUUUAGGUUGACUCCAUGUCUUUGCUAUUGUGAAUAGUGUUGCAGUGAACAUAUGCAUGCAUGUGUGUAAUAGCCAUUCUGGCUGUUAAAAAGUAAAUAAUAGAUGCUGGUGAGAUUGUAGAGAAAAAGGAACAUUUAUACACUGUUGGUGGGAGUGUAAAUUAGUUCAACCACUGUGGAAGACAGUGUGGUGAUUCCUCAAAAACCUAAAGACAGAAAUACCAUUCGAUCCAGCAAUCCCAUUCCUGGGUAUAUAUCCAAAGGAAUAUAAAUUAUUCUAUCAUAAAGACACACACACACACACAUAUGUUCACUGCAGCACUAUUCACAAUAGCAAAGACAUAGUAUCAACCCAAAUACCCAUCAAUGAUAGACUGGAUAAAGAAAAUGUGAUACAUAUACACCACGGAACCCUAUGUAGCCAUAAAAAAGAAUGAGAUCAUAUCCUUUGCAGGAACCUGUAUAGGGCUGGAGGCCAUUAUCCUUAGCAAACUAAUGCAAGGACAGAAAAGCAAAUAUCACAUGUUCUUAUAUAUAAAGUGGAAGCUAAAUGUUGAGAACACAUUGAUAUACAGAAGGGAAAAACACACACUGGGGCCUAACAAAGGAUGGAGAGGAUAAGGAAAAAUAACUAAUGGAUACUAGGUUUAAUACCUGGGUGAUGAAAUAAUCUGUAUAACACACCCCCAUGACACAAGUUUACCUAUAUAACAAACCUGCAAAUCCUGCACAUGUACCCCUGAAUUUAACAUAAAAGUUUAAAAAAUAGCCAUUUUGACUGGUGUGAGAUGGUAUCUCAUUGUGGUUUCGAUUUGCAUUUCUCUAAUGAUCAGUGAUAUUGAAUUUGUUUCAUAUGCUUGUUGGCUGCAAUUAUGUCUUCUUUUGAAAAAUGUCUGUUUCAUAGACCAAUGGAACAGAAUAGAGAUCUCAGAAAUAAGACCACACAUCUUCAACCAUCUGAUCUUCGACAAACCUGAUGAAAACAAGCAGUUGGGUAAAGAUUCUCUAUUUAAUAAAUGGUUCUGGGUAAACUGGCUAGCCAUAUGCAGAAAAUUGAUACUGUACCCCUUCCUUACACAUUAUACAACAACUAACUCAAGAUGGAUUAAAGACUUAAAUGUAAAACCCAAAACUGUAAAAACCCUAGAAGAAAAUCUAGGCAAUAACAUUCAGGACAUAGGCAUGGGCAAAGAUUUUGUGACAAAAAUAUCAAAAGCAAUUGCAACAAAAGCAAAAAUUGACAAAUGGGAUAUAAUUAACCUAAAGAGCUUCUACACAGCAAAAGAAACUCUCAUUAGAGUGAACAGACA